This 301-nucleotide ribosomal RNA is filed under the name uncultured bacterium. RNAcentral's name for it is "partial 16S ribosomal RNA". It matches the Rfam family "Bacterial small subunit ribosomal RNA", at positions 509 to 807 of the family's 1533-position model. The record is from RNAcentral.
CAGUAGCCACGGGAAUACAGAGGUCCCGAGCGUUGUUCGGAUUCACUGGGCGUAAAGGGUGUGUAGGCGGCUAAUUGAGUCGGAUGUGAAAUCCCCGAGCUUAACUUGGGAAUUGCAUUCGAUACUGGUUAGCUAGAGUGUGGGAGAGGAUGGUAGAAUUCCAGGUGUAGCGGUGAAAUGCGUAGAGAUCUGGAGGAAUACCGAUGGCGAAGGCAGCCAUCUGGCCUAACACUGACGCUGAGGUACGAAAGCAUGGGGAGCAAACAGGAUUAGAUACCCCCGUAGUCCCUGUCUCUUAUAC